UACUGCUCUGAGCAUAUACAAUCUUGUCUAAUUCCAUAAGCUAAGCAGGGUCAGCCCUGGUUGGUCCUUGGAAGAGGGACCACCUGAAAAUACCAGGGC
RNAcentral lists this ribosomal RNA (99 nucleotides) under Pogona vitticeps (central bearded dragon). The record is from RNAcentral. Lineage: Eukaryota; Metazoa; Chordata; Lepidosauria; Squamata; Agamidae.